RNAcentral lists this ribosomal RNA (221 nucleotides) under uncultured Lactobacillus sp. Its description in RNAcentral is "partial 16S ribosomal RNA". It matches the Rfam family "Bacterial small subunit ribosomal RNA", at positions 139 to 355 of the family's 1533-position model. The record is from RNAcentral. Lineage: Bacteria; Bacillati; Bacillota; Bacilli; Lactobacillales; Lactobacillaceae.
CGGGAUAACACCUGGAAACAGAUGCUAAUACUGGAUAACAACAGAUGAUGCCUAUCAACUGUUUAAAAGAUGGUUCUGCUAUCACUCUUGGAUGGACCUGCGGUGCAUUAGCUAGUUGGUAGGGUAACGGCCUACCAGCGAUGAUGCAUAGCCGAGUUGAGAGACUGAUCGGCCACAUUGGGACUGAGACACGGCCCAAACUCCUACGGGAGGCAGCAGCC